AGGUCAUCAAAUGGAGUUCUUAUCAGACGAGCCUUUUAAACUGACCCCAAGUCACCUCAUCGUCGGUGUAAGAUCAGAGUUACACAUUCCACCAUGCUAGAGCAUGCCCAAUCAACUUAAGUCACACAAGCACGACUUCAUCGUUGUUGUUGUACCCAUAGAGAGUAAAAUAGGUGUCAAGUUGAUCAAGCCACACAUCUAAUACCUUAGCAUUGAUCGUAUCAUCAUAGGAUGAUAUGUUAAUCUAAGCCUUAACUCAAAAGGGUCGAAGACUCACUUUUUUCAUCGAUAUCACAACAUCAUUGUCGUUGUUGCCACAACAUGCCUUCAACAAACCAAUUUCAAAAUUUGAUGAGGAUGGCUUUCUCCUUCGCUGUGAUGUGUAUAUCUCCAUCGUCUCUUGUUGUUGGGAUGGCUUAGGAUUGGAACCAACCUAUCAUGACCUCCAUCUUUUGCAGAAGUCCACCAAGACUGUUGGAUUGCUCGUUUCCAUCAUGGAUGGACUCUUUUCAUCAAUGAUCGAAGUUGAAAUUUCAACUAGUGUAAUUUAUCACCCGAUGCUUUGUAUCUUUGCCUAGUGGUAACCAUCCACAAGCGAGGAACGAUGAUAUGAAAACAGCAGACCUGUAUGAGCAAUUCACGAUGCAUCUUGUGUUGUAGAAAACACAAAAUCUAAAGGCAAAAUCAAUCUACUUUACUUUAAAAUAGAGGUACCUAAAACAGAGAACUAAGCAAAGGCUUCUAGAGCGAUAAAGGCUCGAACUUCUCGUGCGACAAUCACGAACUAUUUGGGUUACAAACUUAUCACCGAACUCUCCCUUUCUCUCCUUCAUAGUUUACUGAGAGUUGCAGUAGCUAUUAUGCUACUGUUUGGAGAAGUUGUUGGACUCGAGAUUACUAAGAGUUGUCACAAGUUCACUUUACUUUCUCUUCUUCUGCUAUCUUCUCCUCUUCUUGCUACUGUCAAAGGAUCUUGGGAAGGCUACUAGGGAGCAACAACUUCUUGGAAGAAUAUUUGCAACAAACGUGCUGCUACAGGAAGGUUGAUGAUUGUCAACUUAUUCUUCUUUUUUCUCUCCUCUCUUCUCUCUUCGACUAGGACUUUGCUUAGGGCCAACUGGGACUUGAAGAGUGUCUAGU
Molecule: long non-coding RNA, 1140 nt
Filed under: Musa acuminata (dwarf banana)
Lineage: Eukaryota; Viridiplantae; Streptophyta; Magnoliopsida; Zingiberales; Musaceae
Description: long non-coding RNA (MACU_LNC002728)
Source: RNAcentral